CCGCCGGGCGACGCCGCGCCACCACGCGCUCGCGGGCGCGUCGACGUCUGCGUCACCGGCGCCGUCCUCUCCACCACCACUCCCGCUGCCGCCGCCGCUGCUGCUGCUGCUGUUACUGCUCCCCGAGCCGUGCCGGGCCGAUGACAAUGGUGUUAAUGGGAUGUGGCCGGUGCUGGGCGUGGCGCUGGCGACCUUCCUGUGCCUGUCCAUCUGCUUCUCCUGCUGCAAGGUCUACUUCAUCCGCAGGCGCAUGGAGGACGAGGCGGCCGCCACCAGGGCCAGGGCAGCGCGCGGAAACCUCU
Molecule: long non-coding RNA, 302 nt
Organism: Schistocerca serialis cubense
Lineage: Eukaryota; Metazoa; Arthropoda; Insecta; Orthoptera; Acrididae
Exons: 3
Source: RefSeq, a predicted model, not a curated record